UACGUGCCAGCAGCCGCGGUAAUACGUAGGGCGCAAGCGUUAUCCGGAAUUAUUGGGCGUAAAGAGCUCGUAGGCGGUCUGUCGCGUCUGCUGUGAAAACUGGAGGCUCAACCUCCAGCCUGCAGUGGGUACGGGCAGACUAGAGUGCGGUAGGGGAGAUUGGAAUUCCUGGUGUAGCGGUGGAAUGCGCAGAUAUCAGGAGGAACACCGAUGGCGAAGGCAGAUCUCUGGGCCGUAACUGACGCUGAGGAGCGAAAGGGUGGGGAGCAAACAGGCUUAGAUACCCUGGUAGUCCACCCCGUAAACGUUGGGAACUAGUUGUGGGGUCCUUUCCACGGAUUCCGUGACGCAGCUAACGCAUUAAGUUCCCCGCCUGGGGAGUACGGCCGCAAGGCUAAAACUCAAAGGAAUUGACGGGGACCCGCACAAGCGGCGGAGCAUGCGGAUUAAUUCGAUGCAACGCGAAGAACCUUACCAAGGCUUGACAUACACGAGAACGGGCCAGAAAUGGUCAACUCUUUGGACACUCGUGAACAGGUGGUGCAUGGUUGUCGUCAGCUCGUGUCGUGAGAUGUUGGGUUAAGUCCCGCAACGAGCGCAACCCUCGUUCUAUGUUGCCAGCACGUAAUGGUGGGAACUCAUGGGAUACUGCCGGGGUCAACUCGGAGGAAGGUGGGGAUGACGUCAAAUCAUCAUGCCCCUUAUGUCUUGGGCUUCACGCAUGCUACAAUGGCCGGUACAAAGGGCUGCGAUACCGUAAGGUGGAGCGAAUCCCAAAAAGCCGGUCCCAGUUCGGAUUGAGGUCUGCAACUCGACCUCAUGAAGUCGGAGUCGCUAGUAAUCGCAGAUCAGCAACGCUGCGGUGAAUACGUUCCCGGGUCUUGUACACACCGCCCGUCAAGUCAUGAAAGUCGGUAACACCUGAAGCCGGUGGCCUAACCCCUUGUGGGAGGGAGCUGUCGAAGGUG
This 968-nucleotide ribosomal RNA is filed under the name Microbacterium esteraromaticum. Its description in RNAcentral is "bacterial SSU rRNA". It matches the Rfam family "Bacterial small subunit ribosomal RNA", at positions 502 to 1464 of the family's 1533-position model. Lineage: Bacteria; Bacillati; Actinomycetota; Actinomycetes; Micrococcales; Microbacteriaceae. The record is from RNAcentral.